GAUCCCAAACCCAGCAGUGCAGCAGUGUGACAUAACUUCAAGAGUUUCUCUCCCUUUAUGGUGUUUUUACAAUUUUGGUAGGUUAUCAGGGAAAGGAUUUUAUUUAUUUAUUUUGAAAUAUAGUAUCUGAAGAAGGCACUUGAAAGAAGUUGACCAACACUGAGAAUUCAGAUCAAUAAGGAGCCAUAUAGGGAACAACAGGUAGGAAAAAGAAAUUUGUCUUUGCUCUGUUGUGGGUCAAAUAGGUAAGGCAUUGUAUUUUCUUUUUUUUUCCCAAGCACAGUAUGACCUAAGGGUAAAUUGUAUGAAGUAAUGGAGUUCAGGAGCUCAGACCUCUCCUUUGAUGGCAUGUGGUGAUCUUAGAGGUCUUUUCCAACCUGAAUGAUUCAAUGAUUCUAUGAUUUUCCAGUGGGCUAUGGAGUAUGAAUGAAAAAGUGAGUAAUGACUAUGUUAUUAACAAUAAAUAAAUAAAUAAAUAUCAGCAGUGGAAACGUGUCUAGUAACAAAUGCUUCUACUCCAAGCUGUCACUCAUCCAUCUGAGCAAUAUCCCCCUUCAGAGAUAAUCCUGCAAUUACAUGAAUCUACGCUUAACUAAACAUAAAAUGCCUUUCUGCUGACUGCAAAGACAAUGAGUGGAGCAGAGUGUUCCUCAAUUUAUACAUUCAGCAAAGAGAAAGUGAAGCAACUUGGCCAAGCACAAUAAUCUUAUGAUGGAUACCUUCAGCAAACAAUAGGCUUCUGCAUAGUGUUUAGCAUCAUCCUCAGGGGUACAAGCUCUAUGGGGCUGAAGCUUCAGGCUGCAUCAUUAAGAUAAAAUAAAUUCAGCUGCAGCUUCUUGCAUCCUCUGUCUUCCUUAAUGUUUUAAUGCUAAGGGAAACAGAUAAAUGGCUAAGAAGUGGCUGCCUCUUUGAAGCCUUUCUAAUAUCAGGAGGCCCCAGAAGACUGCAGGAGAGAAGAUCUGCAGGUGGAGAAAAAAUAGCCUUUGAUUACCCAAAUGAAUGAAUCUCAAGACAGAGGCCUGCACCUUUCUCAACUGAAGUUCAACACAAGUAAGAUACAACGCCCUUAAAGAGAAGAACAGCGUUUUGAAACUCUAGGAUCAAAAGAAAACAAAAGUUGGUUCAUUUGUGAUUCCUCAGUGACAAAAGACUUCCAGAAUUUUAGGCACUGUUAAACUGAGUUCUACAUGAGCACCAUGUGCUACCAAUUUACUUCAAUUGUCUCCAUUGCUAAGGACUGAUGCAGCUGGCUGGUUUGAUCCAAAUGGCGAUGAUUAAGAUCCUGAAGUCAAUUAAAUUUUUUUCCACUGAUUUCAACAGACCUUGGAUAAGGUCUUGAUGGUUUAUGAAUUAAAAGAAACAUACUGAAAGCAACUUUUUCCAAGAUAUUGGGGAAGAGGGGAGGGAAGAGGGAAAGAGAGAGGAGGAAAACAACCUCUUAUUUACGAGUGUUAAAAGAUGAACUUCAGAAACAUUCCUGGCUUCUCUGAGUUUUUGUCAGAAC
Molecule: long non-coding RNA, 1504 nt
Filed under: Anser cygnoides (Swan goose)
Lineage: Eukaryota; Metazoa; Chordata; Aves; Anseriformes; Anatidae
Description: lncRNA (ENSACDG00005003572.1)
Source: RNAcentral